Molecule: ribosomal RNA, 395 nt
Filed under: uncultured bacterium
Lineage: Bacteria
Description: bacterial SSU rRNA
Rfam family: Bacterial small subunit ribosomal RNA
Source: RNAcentral
GUGUCAGCCGCCGCGGUAAUACGAAGGGUGCAAGCGUUGUUCGGAAUUACUGGGCGUAAAGCGCGCGUAGGCGGGUUUGUAAGUCGAUUGUGAAAUCCCUGGGCUUAACCUGGGAACUGCAGUCGAAACUGCAAAUCUUGAAUGUCUGAGAGGAUGGCGGAAUAACCGGUGUAGUAGUGAAAUACGUAGAUAUCGGUUAGAACACCUGAGGCGAAGGCGGCUAUCUGGCGGCACAUUGACGCUGAGGCGCGAAAGCGUGGGGAGCAAACAGGAUUAGAUACCCUGGUAGUCCACGCCGUAAACUAUGAUUACUAGGUGUCCGGGAUGUUAACCUCCUGGGUACCGGAGCUCACGCAUUAAGUAAUCCGCCUGGGGAGUACGGUCGCAAGACUAAA